Caretta caretta (loggerhead turtle) is the source of this 673-nucleotide long non-coding RNA. RefSeq lists it as uncharacterized. The record is from RefSeq and is a predicted model, not a curated record. NCBI's taxonomy places the organism in Eukaryota, Metazoa, Chordata, Testudines, Cheloniidae.
UUUGUCUGAUAACUCGCUCGCUGGAGCUGAAGUGAGGCGCUUGUCCUUUGCUGCUGCCCCCUGAUUUACGCAGUGGCUUGGCACCGUCGUAUUUGCAUUUUCUCUGGUCGACCGAAAGUGCAUUUUUCAGCUGAUGAACUGUGUGUCAGAAAAACUUCUCCCACCUCGACCCUGACCAUGCACCUGGCUGGGGGAGAAAGGCCUGCCCCUCCAGUCCCUUCGAGACUACCUGCAUCACCGAACAGGGUGCUCCUCCCUCGUUGGCACAGACGGACAGGAACUGGGAAGGCAGGGAAAGAGUGUGGCCAAGCCCUUGGCUCCAGCCCCCCAGGAUGCCAGCCAAUGGCACUGCGGGGGAAGCAAUGCAUUGCGUCAUUGAAAGAGCCGCCACACCUCCGUGGAGCAAGGGGCCGCAGGCACUAGGGGAGGACGCCGCUGAGUCGCCAUUCACGCAGCCUGUCACACUGACUGAAUGGCCCGGGGACGAGACAGCCCUUCAUUCCUCGCGCCGCGCACUUGAAACCCCGCCUCGAGUGUGACUCGGCUGCUGCAGGCCAAGCUUUGGCUGGCUACGCUUCGCUUGCCGGAAGUGCCAACCGGCUCAUGCUGUGUUUCUAAACUUAUUAACUAAAUUACUCACGGCGCUUUCUGUUCUCCUAGCGCCCCAGCCAGA